GACGAACGCUGGCGGCGUGCCUAAUACAUGCAAGUAGAACGCAGUUGCGAACGGGUGAGUAACGCGUAGGUAACUGCCUGGUAGCGGGGGAUAACCAGUGGAAACGAUAGCUAAUACCGCAUACUACCAGAUGGAACUGCUUUGUAUUAGGUAGUUGGUGGGGUAACGGCUCACCAAGGCAACGCUACGUAGCCGGCCUGUGAGGGUGAUCGGCCACACUGGGACUGAGGCACGGCCCAGACUCCUACGGGGGGCAGCAGGAGGGAAUCUUCGGCAAUGGACGGAAGUCUGACCGAGCAACGCCGCGUGAGUGAAGAAGGUUUUCGGAUCGUAAAGCUCUGUUGUAAGAGAAGCGGUAGCUUACCAGAAAGGGACGGCUAACUACGUGCCAGCAGCCGCGGUAAUAC
RNAcentral lists this ribosomal RNA (407 nucleotides) under uncultured bacterium. Its description in RNAcentral is "partial 16S ribosomal RNA". It matches the Rfam family "Bacterial small subunit ribosomal RNA", at positions 28 to 526 of the family's 1533-position model. The record is from RNAcentral.